CUGCAGUGAUGAGCGUUUGGAUGACUGAUCUGGUAUUGCUCCCCUCCGUGGAGAGCUCUGACCAGGGAAUGAUCCCAGUUUGAUCUUCUCUCUGAGCAG
This is a small nucleolar RNA of Nematolebias whitei (Rio pearlfish), 99 nucleotides long. RefSeq annotates it as Z30 small nucleolar RNA. The transcript has a single exon. NCBI's taxonomy places the organism in Eukaryota, Metazoa, Chordata, Actinopteri, Cyprinodontiformes, Rivulidae. The record is from RefSeq and is a predicted model, not a curated record.